AGAAAAAAAAGCAGAGCAGGGUGUUUCACAGUGUGUGUCCUCGUUGGCUUGCCGUAGCUCUCCAGCUGUCAGCGCUUCGCUUUUUCCUCCGCAGGCUGUUACGGGGAGUAAAUGGUCCUCCUCUUCCUCUCCAGGUGAAGGCCAGCCGAGGCUGUGAUGCUGUGACUGCUGCCUCCUGGUCCUGUGAGAGCCGCUGCAGGACGGCCACAGCUGCUGCACGCCGUCUGCACAGCUGAGAUGCGGCUGCAGCGAGCAGUGAUGCCUCAGCAGCUGCUGGUGUGUAAAGAAGAGGUUCCCCCUGAGCAGCAGGAGUGCA
This is a long non-coding RNA of Myripristis murdjan (pinecone soldierfish), 316 nucleotides long. RefSeq lists it as uncharacterized. The record is from RefSeq and is a predicted model, not a curated record. Lineage: Eukaryota; Metazoa; Chordata; Actinopteri; Holocentriformes; Holocentridae. The transcript is spliced from 3 exons.